RNAcentral lists this non-coding RNA (18 nucleotides) under Arabidopsis thaliana (thale cress). Lineage: Eukaryota; Viridiplantae; Streptophyta; Magnoliopsida; Brassicales; Brassicaceae. The record is from RNAcentral.
GGGUUACGGUGCCCAACU